GUGCUUGCUUUGGCAGCACAUAUACUAAAAUUGGAAUGAUACAGAGAAGAUUAGCAUGGCCCCUGCAUUAGGAUGACACACAAAUUUGUGAAACAUUCCAUAUUUUU
This is a small nuclear RNA of Heterocephalus glaber (naked mole-rat), 107 nucleotides long. Lineage: Eukaryota; Metazoa; Chordata; Mammalia; Rodentia; Bathyergidae. The record is from Ensembl.